UCCUCAUGGGUAUAUUCAGGUUCAUUACCACUAAGCCACAAUGGAACUCCUGUCCAGUUGAUUUUAAAAGCCUUCUCCUUAGGGGGUUUCUCUUGUAUGCCAUCAAAUUCUCAUACACUGACCCUAUUUUCAAAGGUUAAUUAUUGUAUCAUAACCUCUGCUUCCAUAAACAGAGAUUUUUUUUGGUUCGUUUCCUCUAAUAGAGCAUAAUAGAGAGUUGAGAUUUAUUUGGCAUAAAAGAAAGGGCCUUUAUCCGUAAUCCUAGGGAAUGUUACUCUAAUUUUCCUAUUUGAGUUUUCCGUAGUCUUGUUUAUUUUGGUUUACAGGUAAAUUACACACCUAAUUCAUUCCUAGAGAAUGGAUGAUCAAUAAGCUACUAGAUCAGAAAUUUCUGAAUACAUUUCUGACCUGAUACCUAUACCUAAAACUUUCUUCUCUUCUUUUUUAAUUAAUUUCUUUCUCUAUUAGACCCUGUUCAAAUAGUAGAAUCUCUCUUUUUAUCAUUAACAUGUGGAAAAGAUCCACUAAAGUGAUUUUUAGGAAAUACAGGUACAAUCCCCAAAAAUAUAUUUCCCUAGUGUAUUUCUCCUAAUGAAUCAAAGUGUUUUAUCUAAUCUAUAUUUGAAUAUAUGUGUGAUGCUACAUAUUUUGUGGGAUAUAAGCAUGACAGUGUUCUAUUAUCCUAAGUCUUUAAACCUCUUCUUAUAUAUCAUGCCAAGACAGGAUGAACUUCAGGAACACUUAACCUGUGUAAUCACACAGGGACAUGAAUUUAGAAGGCACUCACAACUGGUAUAAUGUUCUGCUGCCCAAGAAACAAGCAGUAUGCACGUUAGCAAAUUAUGCAUGUAUGAUAUUCAUAUUCUCUGAUCCUGUCUCCCCAUUUGCAUAUAAUAUUUUUGGUGGUCCUUGAGCACAACAUUCCAGGUGACCCACAAUCCGUGAGAAUCAACAAGAUUCAAAGGAAGUAUAAGGAUCCUAUCUGGAGAACCUAGGAGAGUAGAGGGAAAAAAUAUUUCCUCCCCUAAACAUGAAAGUACACCAGACAGAAGAACACAGCUCCAAGACGUUUUCCAAAGUAGAGUGGCAUCUGCACUUUCUCCCAUACACUGUGCCCAUAAAGUGGUCAUGCCUGAAGGCAUGUGAAGUUUCUGGGCCAAGUAUCAAACCUGUGCUACAGUAGCAACCCAAGCUGCUGCAUGGACAACACCAUAUCCUGCUGCACCACAGGAGAACUCCUAAAAUCUAUGAAUUACUUUUUAAAUUCCUUAGCAAUAUAAAAUAGGCAUGUAACAUAAUGACAUUAAUAGAUACUGAUUUGGUAUGUUUCUUUGCAAAAAACUCAUCUGGCAGGUGUGUAACCUCUUCCUUGACUGCUUUAGAAUAUCUAAAACCCGAUUGCCCUUGCCAACUAGCAUCAAUUACAGCUUUUUGCGAAAGCAAGAAAAGCGUUGUAAACCAUAAAAUUGAGACUAAAAUGCAAACUAUUUACAUGUGUUCACCCCCUUUUCUCACAGCUACUUUCCUGCAUGUUCCCACAGAGAUCUCCUCAAUUACAUAAUGCUGAUGUUCUUUCUCUAGCCUCUCAGAGCUUGGUAUUACUGCUUUCUAUCCCUGUAAAACUAUUCUCCACCUUCUUUGCCUGGCUAACUCCUUUUUUAUCUUAAGAGUUUAAUGUGUGUGUGUGUACAUAUGUAUGUGUGUAUACACAUACAUAUAUAUACAUAUAUUUUGUGAAUCCUUUAAAUGACUGCCAGGUAUCUUCCCCCCUGAACCAAAAGGUCCAUAGACCAUAACUCUGCUAUAUGAUCUCUACUUCCCAGGCACUUCGGAGUAAUUUCCUACUAACCAUACCAUGUUUACCACUGAAAUAAUUCCUACUAGUGCAUUAACUAGUGGUCAACAAAUGUAUACAUGGCUUACUCUAAUUCUUUAUCUGUCAUAUGGAAAUAUAUGGCCAAUGAUCCCUACAUUUAAUUAGUUAUUUUUUACAAAACAACACAGCAGAACAAUAAUUAAUAGAUAAAGAUAUUCAUGUAAAUUUUGAGGGUGUAAUAAAAUACAAAAUUAAUUUAAACUAAAAUAUAACAUUGAAAAUGAGUAAUAGUAUACCUCAUAGGCCAUGCUAACAUACUUAGCAUGUUAGUCACUACUUUCAUUUGAGCUAAGACAGAGGAGAAGGUAGCUGACUAAGAAGAUGCUCUGAAAUGGCUAUUUUACUUAUUCCCUCUCACUAGUCUUCCCCUAAUAUAAAGCUACCAGUUUGGCCUGCACUUAAGGCAUUCCAAAAAGUAGCACUGAGGAAAAGAAAUAAGAAACAUACUACUCUAAAUCUAGGAAGAAUUAGGAAAGAAAUCAGAGAUUAUUUAGGAACAGUCAGGAAUCACUCAAGUCUGCUUUUUGUGGUAUCUAUGCUUUUUAUCCAGUUAUACUUUUAAUCAAAAAGUGAACAUUCAGAGAAUUGAGGUGGAUAGAAAGAAAAAAGAAAGGCUUUUACUUUUGAACAAAACUAAUUAAUACUAUAAGAAUUACAAUUGAUAGUAAGUAAUGUACGUAUGAAAAAUAUGAUAGAGUGAAAUAUAUCAUCUACCUCCUAAUUUUAUAGAGCUUGGAAAAUAUUCAUUAGAUAAUCAGUUUGAAAACCAUUAUACCCUAAUAGCAUUAUCUUAUUAAGUCCACAUAGCUAGCAACUCUACUAGUUCUGCAUUAAUAUGAACAUUUGUAAUGAUUUUCAUAUUAUAUAGGACAAUAUCUUCUAAUCUUACUAUUAAAAAGGAGCAUAAUCCUUGGUGUUUAAGACAAUCCAUAGACAGGUUUGGGAAUAGAUAACAACCAUUACUUAUUUGUUUUAUUCUUAUUACUGUUAUCUUUUUAAAAUUCUGCAUAUUCUGAGGCUUAGGGUGAUUAUAUGAAAGUUUAAGAAAAAAAAAAGGUGAUAUAGUCAAAAUUUUAACACUAUUCUCUUUGUCCUGCUUUCCAUUAAAUUAUAAGGUGUUUAUAAUUUUUCAAAACUGAAUAAAAAAUGAAUGCUUAUAUGUUUACUUUAAGCAUGUUUGUUACUAACAAGUCUUCCUAUUUUACUUACCACAAUACAGAUCAGACUACAUUUUUUCUCGCCAAUUAAUUUCAAUGACUUGGCUUAUUCUAUAUUUUUUCCAAUGUAAAAUGCUAAAUGCAGAGACAAAAUAUAAAGCCUAUCAGGCAAUAUUGAAAUGAUUUAGCUCAUCAAAAUAAAAUUAAAUAAUACUGAGACAUAGAAUCAUAGAAAUAUUAAAU
This is a non-coding RNA of Sus scrofa (pig), 3276 nucleotides long. The record is from RefSeq and is a predicted model, not a curated record. Lineage: Eukaryota; Metazoa; Chordata; Mammalia; Artiodactyla; Suidae.